This 822-nucleotide ribosomal RNA is filed under the name Staphylococcus aureus. Its description in RNAcentral is "partial 23S ribosomal RNA". It matches the Rfam family "Bacterial large subunit ribosomal RNA", at positions 1074 to 1897 of the family's 2925-position model. Lineage: Bacteria; Bacillati; Bacillota; Bacilli; Caryophanales; Staphylococcaceae. The record is from RNAcentral.
UGUGGCGUUGCCCAGACAACUAGGAUGUUGGCUUAGAAGCAGCCAUCAUUUAAAGAGUGCGUAAUAGCUCACUAGUCGAGUGACACUGCGCCGAAAAUGUACCGGGGCUAAACAUAUUACCGAAGCUGUGGAUUGUCCUUUGGACAAUGGUAGGAGAGCGUUCUAAGGGCGUUGAAGCAUGAUCGUAAGGACAUGUGGAGCGCUUAGAAGUGAGAAUGCCGGUGUGAGUAGCGAAAGACGGGUGAGAAUCCCGUCCACCGAUUGACUAAGGUUUCCAGAGGAAGGCUCGUCCGCUCUGGGUUAGUCGGGUCCUAAGCUGAGGCCGACAGGCGUAGGCGAUGGAUAACAGGUUGAUAUUCCUGUACCACCUAUAAUCGUUUUAAUCGAUGGGGGGACGCAGUAGGAUAGGCGAAGCGUGCGAUUGGAUUGCACGUCUAAGCAGUAAGGCUGAGUAUUAGGCAAAUCCGGUACUCGUUAAGGCUGAGCUGUGAUGGGGAGAAGACAUUGUGUCUUCGAGUCGUUGAUUUCACACUGCCGAGAAAAGCCUCUAGAUAGAAAAUAGGUGCCCGUACCGCAAACCGACACAGGUAGUCAAGAUGAGAAUUCUAAGGUGAGCGAGCGAACUCUCGUUAAGGAACUCGGCAAAAUGACCCCGUAACUUCGGGAGAAGGGGUGCUCUUUAGGGUUAACGCCCAGAAGAGCCGCAGUGAAUAGGCCCAAGCGACUGUUUAUCAAAAACACAGGUCUCUGCUAAACCGUAAGGUGAUGUAUAGGGGCUGACGCCUGCCCGGUGCUGGAAGGUUAAGAGGAGUGGUUAGCUUC